Molecule: long non-coding RNA, 1108 nt
Organism: Gallus gallus (chicken)
Lineage: Eukaryota; Metazoa; Chordata; Aves; Galliformes; Phasianidae
Source: Ensembl
CCCUUCCAAAAGCUAAAGACGCUAUCUGGAAAAGUUGAAAUUGCUCUAAGUAAUACAGAGUACUUCCUUCAUAAGACAUCGUGUAAGUUUAAUAGUAUCUUUUGAAAAUGAUGACUGCUGUCAGAGGACUCCAUUCACCUGCUUGUGGACAACCUUGCUGAAGCAUCUUACCUACAAGUGGCCAUCGGGGACAAUUGCUCAGCCAUAGAGACGAGUUUCAGUGACUGCUGCCCUGAUACCAUAGGCUUUCCUGCUUUUGCAAGCACUGAAGCCUGAUAUAUAUCCUGCAGAAUGGAGAAGGACAGAGCAUUUUCCACUUUAGGUCUUUGCUGAAGGAAUCAUUCUAUAACCUCACCAAGGUUCCCACUCCCAACGAAUCUGAUUUCAGCAAAAAGAGUUGCUCACUUCAGUUAUCUUACAGAGAAGGGCAAAACUGUAUCAUUAGAUUUAGUUUGCCAUUUUGACAGCUAGAAGUGGACGUUCUGCUCUCCUGGUUUAAAAACCUGUUCAACCCUACUAAUUUCAUUUGGAUCACAUACAAGGUCACUCCAGGGAAUUUCGGAAGAAGACAGGAAGUGCUCCACUUGGACACCACUGAAGUCUCAGUGACUCAUCUCUGGGCACCUUGUGCAUCCUUCCAUCCACCCGCCUGAGCCCAGGCAGCACCCAGUGAAGGAGCUGGAAUGAUCUUCAUUUCACACCUGCCACAGAUGUGGAUUUCCCUGCUGCUUUGCAGUUAAGUAAUCUGAGGAAUUCAGCAGAGGCAAAAUGUAAGUCACGGGCUGAAAGCGGACCUCUGCAGACAGAGAGGAGAGUUCGUGACUGCAAUGAGUUUUGAAGGGCAGAGGACAUAUCUUUGGAGGUAACACUAUUUGCACAGAAGCAUUUCUGAAGAAAAACUGUGAUCCAUAAAGAACUUCCCGAACAAGAUAACUGCAAAGCAGAUUUAAUUGUGAAUAUUUAUUGCUCUUCAAAACAAUGAGACUGCUUAAUAAUGGUGCAACAAGAACUGAAAAUCCAGGAAGCAGGCAGUGCAAAGUCUACAACAUCCUUAGUUUUACCCCCUGUGUCCAUAUGUGCUCACUAUCCAUCAGCUGAAGUUCCUAAC